RNAcentral lists this ribosomal RNA (256 nucleotides) under uncultured bacterium. RNAcentral's name for it is "partial 16S ribosomal RNA". It matches the Rfam family "Bacterial small subunit ribosomal RNA", at positions 96 to 353 of the family's 1533-position model. The record is from RNAcentral.
UGGCGGACGGGUGAGUAAUGUCUGGGAAACUGCCUGAUGGAGGGGGAUAACUACUGGAAACGGUAGCUAAUACCGCAUAACGUCGCAAGACCAAAGAGGGGGACCUUCGGGCCUCUUGCCAUCGGAUGUGCCCAGAUGGGAUUAGCUAGUAGGUGGGGUAACGACUCACCUAGGCGACGAUCCCUAGCUGGUCUGAGAGGAUGACCAGCCACACUGGAACUGAGACACGGUCCAGACUCCUACGGGAGGCAGCAUG